GAUUAACGCUGGCGGCGUGCAUAACACAUGCAAGUCGAACGAUGAAACUCAUUAGAUUUCUUCGGAAUGAAAAUGAAUGGAUUAGUGGCGAACGGGUGAGUAACGCGUGAGUAACCUGCCUUACACAAGGGGAUAGCCUCUGGACACGGAGAAUAAUACCCUAUGAAACCAGACAAUCGCAUGAUAAUCUGGUCAAAAUGUUUAGUGGUGUAAGAUGGACUUGCGUCUGAUUAGCUAGUUGGUGGGAUAAACGCUCACCAAGGCAACGAUCAGUAGCCGGCUUGAGAGCGCGUACGGCCACAUUGGGACUGGGACACGGCCCAGACUCCUCCGGGAGGCAGCAGUGGGGAAUGUUGCACAAUGGGGGAAACCCUGAUGCAGCGACGCCGCGUGAUUCAGAAGGCCUUCGGGUUGUAAAAAGCUUCUGUAUAGGAAGAAAAUGACAGUACUAUACGAAUAAGGUCCGGCUAAUUACGUG
This 478-nucleotide ribosomal RNA is filed under the name uncultured bacterium. RNAcentral describes it as "partial 16S ribosomal RNA". It matches the Rfam family "Bacterial small subunit ribosomal RNA", at positions 28 to 507 of the family's 1533-position model. The record is from RNAcentral.